GUCGUAGCAGUGCGAUUAUUUCUGCUGGGAAAGGAAACGGAGCGCAGAGAAGAAGAAUAGAGGAGUGCAAAGGAAGACCUUGAAUCUAUCUUCGGCUUCGACAGAAAAUUUUGAUUAUAUUUUUGGGGGAAAAAAACUAAAUACGAGAGGUUCGAAUUUGGAGCUGAAAUUUAAGACUUACAAUUUCGACUCUCGAACUUUUAGGUUUUCUUGGGUGCGCAAUUCUUGAGUUUGAAUAUCGGAAUUGAAAAUCUGGAAAAUGUUUGCAUUAUAUUGUAGAAAACAAGGAGUGUAUUCUAUCCUUGGUUUCUGGGGCGCAUUUCCGGAUUUUUGCAGUGGGCUGUAGGGUUAGCUUGAAAGUUACUUGCUCAGAGAUUGGUGGGUAGAACAUAGAAUUGCAGCUCUCUAAUGGUUUUAUAAGAGGAAUUUCUUGUUUGGUGAUAUUGCAGCUCAAUCAUGUUUUAUCACGUGUAUAUGAAAUUGAAAUAUUGAUGGCAUAAUUGAAGAUUAUUUUAGUAAAAUAUACUAUUUUUUUUUGUUAUAUGUUGAUUAAUUGGUUAGUUCUAAGCAAAAUGAAAAGAAAAGAAAUGUAUGUAUGCUGAACCUCUCUAUACUUUUGAGUUGGAAAUUGUGUUCUUUUGGAAGGAAAGAAUCAUGUUUGUUUGUCUAGUUCCGUUUGUUACCAUUAGGCAUAUGUUCAGCUUGAGGGAAUCUGAAUGAUGGAUUUUGAAGAAUGUAUAUAUUUGGAUAAAAUCUAUUGUUUGGUUAAGAAACGGUGAGGCAGAAUCCAUGAAUUUUUCAUAAUCUCUUAUUCAAUGAAACCCCCAAAUAAGGGUUUGGAAAAGAAGUAUGUUGAAUCCAUGGGAUAUAAAACUCAGGUUUCUGAUUCCAUGGAGUUUGGUAACUGCAAUCCAAUGUGGCCUAGAAAGCAAAACAUGUUUCUCCUUCCCGAGGGAGUAGUCAUUUAAAAGGUUGACCUCUAAUUGAAUUCCUCAACCUGGAAAAAGUGACUAAUUUGCAUUUGCUUGAAGAAUGAAUUUUAAUUUCCGCCCUUUAUUUUGCUAGAUAGCUUAUUUCAGCUUUGUCAUGGUGUUUGAGUAGCGUGAUUUAUAAUCAUGGAGGAAGAUGAGGACAAAGUUCUUCUCAGUACUUUGGGAAUAACGUCUGCAAAUCCUGAAGACAUUGAGCGUGACAUUUUAGCAGAGGUGAGAGACAAUGCUGAAAAUGAUGGUGAAGCUGGAGGGAGCACUGUGGUGCUUCCUGACAAGUCAAAAAACAUUGAUCCAUCAUCUACCAACCAAACAAAACUCUAUAAUAGAUUGAGGGCUGUAAAAUUUGAAAUAGAUGCUGUUGCUUCUACUUUUGAACAAGUGAGAAAUGUUGCCAGUAGUGAAGACCAUGAUGAUGAUGAUAAAGCAGAGUGUGGGGAUAGAAAGGAUGAUGUGCUGGUUUCUCCCAAUGAUUUCACUCUUCAACGAGCCCUAGCUGCUGAUCGGCUAAAAAGUCUUAAGAGGACAAAGGUUCAAAUUGAGAAAGAACUUUCAAAUUUGCAUGAGGAUGACACUACCAAGGGAGUUGACUAUGAAAAUCUGUUGGCAGACAUGGUUAGGGAAGAAACUAGACGAAAUAGAAAUGUGAAAGAAGUUCAGAAACCAGGCAAAAAAAAGGAAAGGAGUCAGAGAAAGGUUUCAUUUAAUGAUGAUACAGACUUUGAUGCAAUGUUGGAUGCAGCUUCUACUGGAUUUGUUGAAACAGAAAGGGAUGAGCUGGUCAGGAAAGGUAUUUUAACCCCUUUUCAUAAGCUUAAGGGAUUUGAGCGCGGUCUUCAGCAGCCAGGGCCAUCAAGUGGGUGCAAAGUAUCUGAGGAAGAGGAAAGGAGUGAUGAUAUUGCUUCUGACAGUAUUGCUAGAGCUUCCCAGUCAAUGAGAGAGGCCAUGAAAGCUCGCCCGAUGACUAAAAUGCUUGAUUUGGAUUCUCUGCCAAAGCUUGAGGCUCCUACUCAUCCUUUUCAGAGGCUGAAAACACCUUUGCAAGUCCCUCCAUCCCCAGAAAGUGAUGCAGAGAAGGGGAAGGGCUCAAAAAGGAAAACAAAACGUCCUUUGCCAGGCCAGAAAUGGAGCAAACGAAUUUCACAUGAGGAAAACCACUUGGAAGAAAGUGGUAUGUUCAAUAAUUUCCUCGCUUAAGAUGGUGCAAGGUGUGGCUCAGUUACAUCCAGCUAUGAAGAGGAAAAGCUAGAGGAUGGUGAAGAUAAUGGUGAUUCUUCCUUUGUAACACUUGAAGGUGGGCUGAAAAUCCCCGAAGCUAUUUUUAAUGAACUUUUUGAAUACCAGAAAGUGGGAGUGCAGUGGCUAUGGGAACUGCAUUGCCAAAGGGCUGGUGGUAUUAUUGGGGAUGAGAUGGGUCUUGGUAAGACCAUCCAGGUCUUAUCUUUUCUGGGAGCAUUGCACUUCAGUAACAUGUACAAACCAAGCAUUGUUGUUUGCCCUGUCACACUCUUGCGACAAUGGAAAAGGGAAGCACAGAAGUGGUACCCACGCUUUCAUGUGGAGCUACUACAUGAUUCAGCACAAGAUUUGGCUCAUAGGAAGAAGCAGGCCAAAUCUUAUGAUAGUGAUAAUGAAAGUGAAGGUUCGCUUGACAGCAAUUAUGAGGGGAAUUUAUCAUCUAAAAAUUCCAAUAAAUGGGAUUCCUUAAUAAAUCGAGUUCUGAAAUCAGAGUCUGGGUUGCUUAUAACCACUUAUGAGCAACUAAGGCUGCUAGGAGAAAAAUUGCUUGACAUUGAGUGGGGCUAUGCAGUUCUGGAUGAAGGACAUCGAAUUCGCAAUCCAAAUGCUGAAAUUACUCUGGUUUGCAAACAGCUUCAAACGGUUCACCGUAUAAUAAUGACAGGAGCACCAAUUCAAAACAAGUUGAGUGAACUGUGGUCCCUGUUUGAUUUUGUUUUCCCUGGUAAACUGGGGGUACUGCCAGUUUUUGAGGCUGAAUUUGCUGUUCCUAUAUCUGUUGGUGGCUAUGCCAAUGCCUCACCACUGCAAGUAUCUACAGCCUACAGGUGUGCUGUGGUCCUGCGUGACUUGAUUAUGCCUUAUCUUCUUCGUCGCAUGAAGGUGGAUGUGGAUGCACAGCUUCCAAAAAAAACUGAACACGUCCUCUUUUGUAGCCUUACUGCAGAGCAACGUUCCGUGUAUAGAGCAUUUCUUGCAAGUACUGAGGUUGAACAAAUACUUGAUGGAAAUAGGAAUUCCUUAUAUGGAAUAGAUGUGAUGCGCAAAAUAUGUAACCACCCUGAUCUGCUUGAGAGAGAGCAUUCAUGUCAAAAUCCAGACUAUGGAAAUCCCGUACGAAGUGGAAAAAUGAAAGUCAUUGCCCAAGUGCUUAAGGUUUGGCAGGAGCAGGGACAUCGUGUUCUUCUUUUUUCUCAAACUCAACAAAUGCUUGACAUUCUCGAAAGUUUCUUAAUUUCUAGUGGUUAUUGCUACCGACGAAUGGAUGGCCUUACUCCGAUAAAGCAGAGAAUGGCCCUAAUAGAUGAAUUUAACAACUCAAAUGAUGUCUUCAUUUUCAUCUUAACUACAAAGGUUGGUGGAUUAGGGACUAAUCUAACCGGUGCAAAUAGAGUGAUCAUCUUUGACCCGGAUUGGAAUCCUUCAACUGACAUGCAGGCAAGGGAAAGGGCUUGGCGUAUUGGUCAGAAACGGGAUGUCACUGUUUAUAGAUUGAUUACACGUGGAACUAUUGAGGAGAAGGUGUACCACCGGCAGAUUUACAAACAUUUUCUUACAAAUAAGAUAUUGAAAAACCCACAGCAGAGAAGGUUCUUUAAAGCUCGAGAUAUGAAGGAUCUUUUCACUUUGAAUGAUGAUGGAGAGAGUGGGUCAACUGAAACAUUUAACAUUUUCAGUCAGUUAUCUGAAGAUGUAAAUGUUGUUGGUGCAAAGAAAGAAAAGCAGGACAAGCAGAAACACCAUAAAUGUAGGGCAUCACGUGCUGAUGAUGCUGCAAUGGACCAGGAAAGCAAACCUGAUACCGGAUGCUCCAGGAUGAAAGGGAAAGAAAAAGCAAAUCAUAGUGAUGAAGUGGAUGAAGAAACAAAUAUUUUGAGGAGUCUUUUUGAUGCUCAUGGCAUACAUAGUGCAAUGAACCAUGAUGCUAUUAUGAAUGCACAUGAUGAAGAGAAGAUGAGACUUGAGGAGCAGGCUUCCCAAGUUGCGCAAAAGGCAGCAGAAGCAUUGCGUCAAUCACGAAUGCUGCGUAGUCGUGAUAGCAUAUCUGUCCCAACAUGGACAGGGAAAUCGGGGACUGCUGGUGCACCAUCUUCUGUUAGCCAGAAAUUUGGAUUAACUGUGAAUUCCCAGCUGAUUAGGUCUUCUGAUCAAUCAUCCAGCAAUAAAACAAGCAGCUUGAAUGGAAUAGCUGCUGGAGCUUCUGCUGGAAAGGCAUUAUCCUCAGCUGAACUACUUGCAAAAAUUCGUGGAAAUCAAGAAAAGGCUGUUGGUGCUGGGCUGGCAUCAAGUUCUGCUAACAGAGCAAGGUCUGAAAAUGGAAUGUCAUCUCAAAAUUCAUCUAGCGUCCAGCCUGAAAUACUGAUUCGGCAGAUCUGUACAUUCAUACAACAAAGAGGUGGAAGCGCUGAUUCAUCAAGCAUAGUGCAGCACUUCAAGGAUAGGAUCCCUUCAAAGGAUCUGCCCUUGUUUAAGAAUCUUUUGAAGGAGAUAGCUAAAUUGGAGGAAGACCAAAAUGGAAAAUUGUGGGUUUUGAAGCCAGAGUAUGGACAGCAAUAACUCAUGGCUUACUGUUUAUUUGCUUUGACAGCACAGAUCUUGCUACCGUGUUGCGAGCUUCCUCCUUUUUUGCAUGGAAAACAUUUUGGUAAUCGUAGUACCUUUUGGUAGUGUUGAUUCAUGGUAGCGCCUUUUCUCAGAAAAAAGUAAUAAUAACUAAAUUAAUCCUUAGUGAGAUUUCAUGCCUGACGUUGACACCUAAGCAAUCUCCCUUUAACACUAGGAUAAGACAUUGGUCUUAUAUCACAACUACAUCAAAGGAUAUCGAUUCUGUGUAGAGAGAGAGAGAGAGUGAGAGAGUAUAAUUGCCCUCUGUGUUGUAAUGUAAAAAAUUAGAGAUUAUGCAGUAGUCAGAA
Molecule: unclassified non-coding RNA, 5140 nt
Filed under: Hevea brasiliensis (rubber tree)
Lineage: Eukaryota; Viridiplantae; Streptophyta; Magnoliopsida; Malpighiales; Euphorbiaceae
Source: RNAcentral